This 335-nucleotide unclassified non-coding RNA is filed under the name soil metagenome. Its description in RNAcentral is "partial contains 5.8S ribosomal RNA, internal transcribed spacer 2, and large subunit ribosomal RNA". The stretch from base 1 to 120 matches the Rfam family "5.8S ribosomal RNA", at positions 35 to 154 of the family's 154-position model. The record is from RNAcentral.
GAUGAAGAACGUAGCGAAAUGCGAUAAGUAGUGUGAAUUGCAGAAUUCAGUGAAUCAUCGAAUCUUUGAACGCACAUUGCGCCCCUUGGUAUUCCAUGGGACAUGCCUGUUCGAGCGUCAUUUGUACCUUCAAGCUUUGCUUGGUGUUGGGUGUUUGUCUCGCCUUUGCGUGUAGACUCGCCUUAAAAUAAUUGGCAGCCGGCGUAUUGAUUUCGGAGCGCAGUACAUCUCGCGCUUUGCACUCAUAACGACAGCGUCCAAAAGUACAUUUUACACUCUUGACCUCGGAUCAGGUAGGGAUACCCGCUGAACUUAAGCAUAUCAUAAGCGGAGGA